Molecule: long non-coding RNA, 496 nt
Filed under: Mytilus galloprovincialis (Mediterranean mussel)
Lineage: Eukaryota; Metazoa; Mollusca; Bivalvia; Mytilida; Mytilidae
Source: RNAcentral
GUCUUGCAGUAAUUAAUCAAUAAGUUCUUAAUUAAGUUCAAUACGCAAUUUUAUUUGGAUAUGUAAGAAGGAGGGUUUAACUAUAAUUUUAAAAUGGCUUUGUUUGGUUCAACACUUACUUCCUCAAUAAGAGUUGGGUUGUAAUUUCAUUUGGUUUUAUAGACAGGGUUUGACAAUUAUCUAAUGUGGCUUUGAAGCAGGGUUUAACAAUUAUCUAAUGUGGCUUUGAAGCAGGGUUUAACAAAUAUUUAAUGUGGCUUUGAAGCAGGGUUUGACUAUUAUCUAAUGUGGCUUUGAAGCAGGGUUUAACAAAUAUUUAACGUGGCUUUGAAGCAGGGUUUGACAAUUAUCUAAUGUGGCUUUGAAGCAGGGUUUAACAAAUAUUUUCUGCAGUUAUAAGGCAGGGUUUAAUAAAUAUUUCCAAUGGUUUUCUAGUUGGGGUUUAACAGUAGUGGUUUUGUAGAAAGGGUCUGACAGUAUUUCCUGUGGUUUUGUA